GAUGAACGCUGGCGGCGUGCCUAAUACAUGCAAGUCGAACGCAUAGCGAAAGGUGCUUGCACCUUUCCAGUGAGUGGCGAACGGGUGAGUAACACGUGGACCACCUGCCUCAAGUCUGGUGAUAACAUUUGGAAACAGCUGCUAAUACCGAAUAAAACUUAGUGUCGCAUGACACAUAGUUAAAAGGCGCUUCGGCGUCACCUAGCGCUGGAUCCGCGGUGCAUUGGUUAGUUGGUGGGGUAAAGGCCUACCAAGACAAUGAUGCAUGGACGAGUUGAGUGACGGAUCGGCGGCAUUGGGAGGGAGACGGGGCCCAUAGUACUGAGAGAGGCUGCAGUAUGGAACCGGCCACAGUGGGCGAAAGCCUGACGGAGCAACGCGACGUGUGUGAUGAAGGCGUUGGGGGCGGAAAGAACGGUUGCAGGGUAAGAACAGCUAGAAUAGGAAAUGAAGCGAGUUUGACGGUACCAGAUCAGAAAGCGACGGCUAAAUACGUG
Molecule: ribosomal RNA, 497 nt
Filed under: uncultured bacterium
Lineage: Bacteria
Description: partial 16S ribosomal RNA
Rfam family: Bacterial small subunit ribosomal RNA
Source: RNAcentral